GGAGAGAAGAGGAGAGAAGAGGAGAAGUGGAGAAUAGAGGAGAGAAGAGGAUAGAAGAUGAGAUGUGGAGAAUAGAGGAGAGAAGAUGAGAAGUGGAGAAUAGAAGAGAGAAGAUGAGAGAAGAGGAGAAGUGGAGAAUAGAGGAGAGAAGAGGAUAGAAGAUGAGAUGUGGAGAAUAGAGGAGAGAAGAUGAGAAGUGGAGAAUAGAAGAGAGAAGAUGAGAGAAGAGGAGAAGUGGAGAAUAGAGGAGAGAAGAGGAUAGAAGAUGAGAUGUGGAGAAUAGAGGAGAGAAGAUGAGAAGUGGAGAAUAGAAGAGAGAAGAUGUGAAGUGGGGAAUAGAGGAGAGAAUAUGAGAAGUGGAGAAUAGAGGAGAGAAGAUGAGAUGUGGAGAAUAGAGGAGAGAAGAUGAGAUGUGGAGAAUAGAGAAGAGAGAAGAUGUGAAGUGGAGAAUUGAUGGGGAAGAGCAGAGAAGAAGAAAAAAGGAGAAGAGGGAAGGAGGAGAAUCUCACCCUCUUACAUGAUCCAUCUCCCCCAGCUAGCAGGAUACACAUUCAUUAUUAACAAA
Long non-coding RNA from Oncorhynchus keta (chum salmon), 565 nucleotides. RefSeq lists it as uncharacterized. The transcript has 3 exons. The record is from RefSeq and is a predicted model, not a curated record. Lineage: Eukaryota; Metazoa; Chordata; Actinopteri; Salmoniformes; Salmonidae.